GGUUAUACCAAGUGAUUAAGUUAUAUCUUUAGGUAAAAAGACAGUUAAGCUUAUAAAAAUUUUAGUUUAUUAACCGCCUAUAAAAAAGUAAAAUUUGUAUAUAGGUAGCUAAUCUAGAAAUAACUAUAUUUUAGCGCUGAAGCUGUGAUAGUCUUGAGGGAAACUGGGAUUAGAUACCCCAUUAUUCUUGACUGUAAAUAUAAUUAAAUUUACCAGAGUACUAUGAAUAGUUAAAAAUUUAAAACUCAAAGGGCUUGGCGGUGUUUUAGACCAAUCAGGGGAACCUGUCUCGUAAUCGACAAUCCACGUUGUAUCUAACCUCAUUUUGUAUUCAGUUUGUAUACCGUCGUCGUCAGGUAACUUUUAAAAAUAUAGAAGUUAGCAAUAAAAAUUACGUAAGUUAAGACGUCAGAUCAAGGUGCAGCCCAUAGUGAGGAGAGGAUGGGUUACAAUUAUUAGAUUUAUAAUCACGGAAAUUUAGAUGAAAGCCUAUUUAGAAGGAGGACUUGAAAGUAAACUAAAAUAUAUAAAUAGUUUGAAUAAGGCUCUG
Molecule: ribosomal RNA, 550 nt
Filed under: Tritia burchardi
Lineage: Eukaryota; Metazoa; Mollusca; Gastropoda; Neogastropoda; Nassariidae
Description: partial 12S ribosomal RNA
Rfam family: Bacterial small subunit ribosomal RNA
Source: RNAcentral